Molecule: ribosomal RNA, 433 nt
Filed under: uncultured bacterium
Lineage: Bacteria
Description: partial 16S ribosomal RNA
Rfam family: Bacterial small subunit ribosomal RNA
Source: RNAcentral
AACGAACGCUGGCGGCAUGCCUAACACAUGCAAGUCGAACGAGACCUUCGGGUCUAGUGGCGCACGGGUUCGUAACGCGUGGGAACCUGCCCUUAGGUUCGGCAUAACUCCCCGAAAGGGGUGCUAAUACCGGAUAAUGUCUUCGGACCAAAGAUUUAUCGCCUUUGGAUGGGCCCGCGUUGGAUUAGCUAGUUGGUAGGGUAAAAGCCUACCAAGGCGACGAUCCAUAGCUGGUCUGAGAGGAUGAUCAGCCACACUGGGACUGAGACACGGCCCAGACUCCUACGGGAGGCAGCAGUGGGGAAUAUUGGACAAUGGGCGAAAGCCUGAUCCAGCAAUGCCGCGUGAGUGAUGAAGGCCUUAGGGUUGUAAAGCUCUUUUACCCGGGAUGAUAAUGACAGUACCGGGAGAAUAAGCUCCGGCUAACUCCGUG